UGAGGAACAUGACCUUCGGCGGGGGAUAGCCGGCCCAACGGCCGGGUAAUACCGCGUACGACCUUUCGGGGACAUCCUCGGAUGGUGAAAGCAGCAAUGCGCCGAUGGAGUGCCUCGCGGCCUAUCAGCUAGUUGGUGAGGUAACGGCUCACAAGGCAACGACGGGUAGCCGGCUGAGAGGGCGAUCGGCCACACUGGGACUGAGACACGGCCCAGACCUCCGUACGGGAGCAGCAGGG
This 239-nucleotide ribosomal RNA is filed under the name uncultured bacterium. Its description in RNAcentral is "partial 16S ribosomal RNA". It matches the Rfam family "Bacterial small subunit ribosomal RNA", at positions 118 to 354 of the family's 1533-position model. The record is from RNAcentral.